GAUGAACGCUGGCGGCGUGCCUAAUACAUGCAAGUCGAGCGAACAGAUGAGGAGCUUGCUUUUCUGACGUUAGCGGCGGGCGGGUGAGUAACACGUGGAUAACCUACCUAUCAGACUGGGAUAACUUCGGGAAACCGGAGCUAAUACCGGAUAAUAUAUUGAACCGCAGGGUUCAAUAGUGAAAGACGGUUUUGCGGUCACUUAUAGAUGGAUCCGCGCCGCAUUAGCUAGUUGGUAAGGUAACGGCUUACCAAGGCAACGAUGCGUAGCCGACCUGAGAGAGGGGUCGGCCACCCGGGAACUGAGCCACGCUCCCGACGCCUGCGAGAGGGAGCAGUAGGCUACCUGCCGCAACGGUCGAGAGCCUGACGCAGCGACGGCGAGUGAGUGACGGAGGUCUCCGGUUCGUAAAGCUCUGUUUUUAGGUAUGAACAAAUGUCUAAGUAACUGUGGCCGUCUUGACGGUACCUGAUGAGAAAGCCCCGGCUAACUACGUG
This 497-nucleotide ribosomal RNA is filed under the name uncultured bacterium. RNAcentral describes it as "partial 16S ribosomal RNA". It matches the Rfam family "Bacterial small subunit ribosomal RNA", at positions 28 to 507 of the family's 1533-position model. The record is from RNAcentral.